This is a non-coding RNA of Paramuricea clavata, 262 nucleotides long. Lineage: Eukaryota; Metazoa; Cnidaria; Anthozoa; Malacalcyonacea; Plexauridae. The record is from the annotation of a GenBank genome assembly.
GACAUAUACACGUUUCAAGCACGAUCGCAUACGGUGGCAUACGCUGGCAUACGGCGAGGCAGAAAAUUUGUGCGUAUCCGACGUAUGCUUUAUACGAUAAGCAUACUCUAGGCACACGCUGAAUACGCCAGAGGUACGCCAGAUGUACGGUACAUACACGCUGGCAUUUCAAAGGAUUUUUGUGCGUAUGAAAAUUAUUUCAUUAAUUUUCAUACGCUUCUCAUACGUUUCUCUCAUACGCAAUAGUGUGACAGAGCCUUAA